AACGAACGCUGGCGGCAGGCUUAACACAUGCAAGUCGAGCGCCCCGCCAGGGGAGCGGCAGCCGGGUGGGUAACGCGUGGGGACGUACCCUUAUCUUCGUGAUAUCUCUGGGAGACUGGAAUUAAUACCGAAUGUGCGCUCUGGGGGAAAGAGUUAUCGGAUAAGGUUGGGCUCGCGUGGGAUUAGCGAGUUGGUGGGGUAAAGGCGUACCAAGGGGACGAUCCAUAGCUGGUCAGAGAGGAUGAUCAGCCACAUUGGGAGUGAGGCACGGCCCAGAAUCCUACGGGAGGCAGCAGAGGGGAAUAGUAGAAAAGGGGCGCAAGCGUGAACGAGCCAUGCCGCGUAAGUGACGAAGACCUUAGGGGUACAAAGCUGUUAGUACCGAUAAGAUAAUGAAGGUAUCCUAAGAAGAAGCCCCGGCUAACUUCGUG
Molecule: ribosomal RNA, 431 nt
Filed under: uncultured bacterium
Lineage: Bacteria
Description: partial 16S ribosomal RNA
Rfam family: Bacterial small subunit ribosomal RNA
Source: RNAcentral